Molecule: long non-coding RNA, 1104 nt
Organism: Hirundo rustica (Barn swallow)
Lineage: Eukaryota; Metazoa; Chordata; Aves; Passeriformes; Hirundinidae
Exons: 3
Source: RefSeq, a predicted model, not a curated record
CUAAAGUAGGUGGAACAGUUGGUCACAGUCUCUUAGAGCAAAUGGAAACAGCGAAGUACAAAGCAGGAGGAGAGAGCCUCGUUUCUCACCUCUGCAUUAUUACCACUGAAAAGAAGGAUGGAAACCAGUGGAAGGUGACAGCCAGGAAUCCUAAAUCAAAGAAAGAAGUGCUGUGAUCAAGAUGCAGCUUUCUGAGGCUCUUACAAAUGGAAAGAUACUUUUGGAAACCAUACUGGACUGAGGACCUAGACUGAGACUCCCAGAUUCUAAUAAAAAUAUGGCACAGUGAAGUACCGGCUAAAUCAUGCCUAAGUCGUCAAACACAUUGUCCUGGCCAGUACUGAAAGCUGUUGCUACUGCGAAUUCUGCUACCUCUACCAGCAAUGGCUAGAGUCAUAGUGAGCUAGAGGCAAUAAGAACCACUGAUCCGGAUGAUUUUACUUCUUCUGAAAACUGGUAAUGCGUUCUUACAUUUCUCUAAGAAAAACAGGAGUGCACUAAAGAGCAUGAAAAAUCUACAGAGUUGAUUGGAGCAAUGUAAGGAUGGUGCCAUCCAGGAGGAAGUCAGGUGGGUCAGAGCAGCAGUCCCAGCCAUGUGAUGGGCAGUCCAGGAUGGAGCCCAGGGGACCCUGUAGCUAGCCCUGAGGAUUCUGCUGGCUCUCUUCCUCAGCAACAAACUGGCAGUAGCACCCUGCUCCACUUCGGUUUUCCACACCUCUGCCAAGAGCACAGCACUUAACAGGUUAGUCACCGGGGAGGAAUUGGAGGGUAAACAGGGUUUAAGCUGUCCAAACCCUCUGUCAAAUUGUCACAAGUGGUACAUUGUUCCUGGAGGAUUAAGAUGGAAAUAACCUGGUGUUUUUCAAGAGACUGGUUGUGGAAAAGUCGGGCCCCAGGAACAGCUACUGACGAAAGUGCUGUGGAUACAUCAGGUAUGUAAGUCCUGGGCACAGUUCAGCUGAGAGUGUCAGGCAGUGCAUUGACAGUGCACACCCACAGAAAACCACUGCUGUGGCCUCUUGCUAAUUCAAUAAAGGUGUUUGAGAUAUAAUUGUGUAAGAACACAUGACCUGUCUAAAUUUAUAUCAUUAGGUGAUCCAUCCA